CCGAGUUAUACAACUCAUCAACCCUGUGAGCAUACCUAUAACGUUGCCUCGGCGGGAACAGACGGCCCCGUAACACGGGCCGCCCCCGCCAGAGGACCCCCUAACUCUGUUUCUAUAAUGUUUCUUCUGAGUAAACAAGCAAAUAAAUUA
RNAcentral lists this unclassified non-coding RNA (150 nucleotides) under soil metagenome. Its description in RNAcentral is "partial internal transcribed spacer 1". The record is from RNAcentral.